AAGUCGUAACAAGGUCUCCGUAGGUGAACCUGCGGAGGGAUACAUUACCGAGUGAUGGGCCUCUGGCCCGAACCUCCAAAACCCCUUUGUCAUUAAGACCGUGUUGCCUCGAGGGCGACCCAGGACGUCUCGGCGUCGGGCCCCUCGGUGGACCCUUCAUCAACUCUGCAUCUUUACGUCGGAUUUAUACAAGUUUUAAAUUAUUAAAA
This 209-nucleotide unclassified non-coding RNA is filed under the name plant metagenome. RNAcentral describes it as "partial contains small subunit ribosomal RNA and internal transcribed spacer 1". The stretch from base 1 to 46 matches the Rfam family "Eukaryotic small subunit ribosomal RNA", at positions 1786 to 1831 of the family's 1831-position model. The record is from RNAcentral.